This 272-nucleotide ribosomal RNA is filed under the name uncultured bacterium. RNAcentral's name for it is "partial 16S ribosomal RNA". It matches the Rfam family "Bacterial small subunit ribosomal RNA", at positions 793 to 1055 of the family's 1533-position model. The record is from RNAcentral.
GUCCACGCCGUAACGAUGCACACUGGAUCUGGGAGCUUCUGACAGCGCCCGGGUCGAAGCGAAAGCGUUAAGUGUGCCGCCUGGGGACUACGGCCGCAAGGCUAAACUCAAAGGAAUUGACGGGGCUCACACAAGCGGUGGAGCAUGUGGCUUAAUUCGAAGCAACGCGAAGAACCUUACCCGGGUUUGACAUGCUUGGAUGCCUCUUGGGGAUAACUCAGGUAGGCUGCCCGCAAGGGGUGAAACUUGCACAGGUGUUGCAUGGCUGUCGU